UUGACCUCGGAUCAGGUAGGACUACCCGCUGAACUUAAGCAUAUCAAUAAGCGGAGGAAAAGAAACCAACAGGGAUUGCCCCAGUAACGGCGAGUGAAGCGGCAACAGCUCAGAUUUGGAAUCUGGCCCCUAGGGCCCGAGUUGUAAUCUGGAGAGGAUGUUUCUGGCGCGGCGCCUUCCGAGUUCCCUGGAACGGGACGCCGGAGAGGGUGAGAGCCCCGUACGGUUGGACGCCUAGCCUUUGUGAAGCUCCUUCGACGAGUCGAGUAGUUUGGGAAUGCUGCUCAAAAUGGGAGGUAAAUUUCUUCUAAAGCUAAAUACCGGCCAGAGACCGAUAGCGCACAAGUAGAGUGAUCGAAAGAUGAAAAGCACUUUGAAAAGAGGGUCAAACAGUACGUGAAAUUGUUGAAAGGGAAGCGCCCGUGGCCAGACUUGUACCCCGCGGACCAUCCGGCGCCCUCAGCGCCGGUGCACUCCGUGGGGCGCAGGCCAGCAUCGGUUUUCCCAGGGGGAUAAAGGCGGCGGGAACGUGGCUCCCUCGGGAGUGUUAUAGCCCGCCGCGCCAUGCCCCUGGGGGGACCGAGGACCGCGCUUCGGCAAGGAUG
Molecule: ribosomal RNA, 605 nt
Filed under: Leptographium piceaperdum
Lineage: Eukaryota; Fungi; Ascomycota; Sordariomycetes; Ophiostomatales; Ophiostomataceae
Description: eukaryotic LSU rRNA
Rfam family: Eukaryotic large subunit ribosomal RNA
Source: RNAcentral